GAAACCCAUCGGAGCUAUCCGAAUCAUUCACCUGAACAUGACUCAACAGUUUCUUUGCCUCGUGUAACCGAAACGCGACUUUUGAGGGAAAAGGAACCCACUUAGGUGGAACGGUGAAGUCCACUGCCUGAGUCCGUAGAUCAUCACCGUUAAUCAUGGCCGAUGAUGAUCCAAAAAAUGUUAGAGUCCAACCACCAAAGAUACUGAAAAAGGCACUUGAGAUUCCGAGAUCGGCCGUAAUACGAGGUAACCAGAAAGGUGAGAAGUCGUAAAUAAUCCAAUCAGGAGUAGAAGUUUCUAGAAACUGAAGCAGAGGGCAUUGCAGGUUAUCGUAGGCUUUCUUGAGGUAUGGAACCUUGUGCGUGGGAAUGUCAGUGGUGGCCUCUGAAUUAGGGGGGAGAUGGUCUUCAGAAGGUAAAGUGAGGGUUACUAAAUGGACAAGGUUUGCUAAAUUUGGAGGGAUUUUGGGCAAACGCUGGAUGUUUUUAGGGGUAGAAAUAAAGAAGAUUUUGUGACCUCUUUUGGCUAAAAGCUUGGCGAGCUCGAGGAAUGGGAUUAUAUGACCAAACGCUAGCCAUGGAAACAGAGCAAUAUGGAGCUUUUUAUGUUCAUUCAUGGUGAACAGAGGACUAAUGUAGAAGCCUACAAGCUGCUUGUAGAAAAUCCCUAUAUUGAAAAAUGAAAAUCAUGAUAAGCAAAACUUUGGGCUAAUCGUGGUUGAUAUUGUAUCAAAAAAUAUCCUUUAGCAGGAGUGAAAAUACUAAAAGGGCCUUGUUUUAAUUGAAGGUAGGGACAAAACUUUGCAAAAUGAAACUUUACCAACUCGUGGAAAAGUAAAAGAAUCAAUUAAGAGUGGCUGAACCAAAUCUAUUUUUCAAUUAAAAAAUCAAUUAGUACUUGUAGAAAAAUUGUCAUGAUGCACAAAACUAUUAUUUUGCUCAAACCUACCAAUCUGGCAGUCUGGGAAAUUUUGAUUUAAUUGCUAAACAAUUAAUUUUUUUCCCCCUUUUUUUUAAAAGAAAAAAAAUCAAAUUAUUUUAUAUUUACUUUAUUAAUUAAAACAAUUUAUAUUAAUACAAUUCCUUGCGGCAUAUGUAUCUCAUUAUUAUUGACUCUGGCACACUAAAUACAAGCACAUAUUGCCCCUCCCAAUUCACCGGAAUCAUUCGAUAACCGGGGACUCGGUGCACCCAACUCGGUGAGUUUGUAGAAGCUCAACGAAUUGGUCAAUAUAACGGUCAUGUAGUUCUUCAUUUGCAAAUAACUUCGACAUCUCUUUUGCAUUCUCUCUAUACAAUUUUCCUUCCUCCUCAACCAUAACCAAUUUCACUGAGUCAGCCACCGAGUCCCUUGUAUAAGACCCAUCUUCCUCAUCUCUUGUUAUCUCUACACCGACUUUCUUGUCUUCAAAAACCCUAGCAAUUAAACCGUGGUCAAAAGUAAUAGGCAACAUAAUCAAAGCACGUCCAGAAUAUAGAGCAUCUAUAAUUGAACUAAAACCACAAUGAGUCAAAAACCCUCCAACAGAUUCAUGACUCAGGAUUCUUGGUUGAGGUACCCAACUCGUCCAAAACAUUCCACGUCCUUCAACUCGCUCCUCGAACCCAUCUGGCAACUCCGCCGAGUAAUCGUUCCGUUUCCUUGAAGCCCAAAAGAAUGGCAAACCUGAUAGCUCUAACCCGAGUGCCAACUCAGUGAACUCGUUCUGACUCAAAUCCACUUCGCUUCCAAAUGCUAUGUAUACUACAGACCCUUUUUCUUGCUUGUCUAGCCAAUCUCGGAUUUUAAGCCACGUAUCAUCUUCAUCACCAUUGCCAUCUAGAGUUAAAGGUGGCAGUAGACCUAAUGGAAACACAGGCUUACCAUGAAGCUCUCUAACAAGUCUUAAAAAAUCAGCUUCUAGCUCGAAACAGCUCCUAAUAGCUAUAAUAUCACUACUCGCCAUUACUGAACNNNNNNNNNNNNNNNNNNNNNNNNNNNNNNNNNNNNNNNNNNNNNNNNNNNNNNNNNNNNNNNNNNNNNNNNNNNNNNNNNNNNNNNNNNNNNNNNNNNNNNNNNNNNNNNNNNNNNNNNNNNNNNNNNNNNNNNNNNNNNNNNNNNNNNNNNNNNNNNNNNNNNNNNNNNNNNNNNNNNNNNNNNNNNNNNNNNNNNNNNNNNNNNNNNNNNNNNNNNNNNNNNNNNNNNNNNNNNNNNNNNNNNNNNNNNNNNNNNNNNNNNNNNNNNNNNNNNNNNNNNNNNNNNNNNNNNNNNNNNNNNNNNNNNNNNNNNNNNNNNNNNNNNNNNNNNNNNNNAUGAUAAAUUUGGAGGGAUUUUUGGCAAACGUUGAAUGUUUCUAGGAGUAGAUAGAAAAGAGAUUUUGUGACCCUUCUGGGCUAUGCGUUUGGCGAGUUCGAGGAAUGGGAUCAUAUGGCCGAAUGCUAGCCAUGGAAAGAAAGCUACAUGAAGCCUUUUAGGUUCAGUCAUGGUGGAUUAUUGGUGUUACUCUGCAUUUCUUAGCUUCGUAUCGUGUCAUAUGUAGAAGUAGAACUAACGAGGAACCCAGCGAGCCAAAGUCCUGUGAUAUGAUUUGAAAUAUUUAAUUUUAUAUUUAAGUUUUUCAUCUCAAUCAAAUUAUGUGACGUGUCACGAUCGACUAUGAUACAACAACCUCGGUGGCGAUGCGGUGCUCCUGCAUUUUGGAUCGUAGGCCCUUGAAUUAUUGAAUGUUAGUAUUUUAUUUUUUCUUUUAAAAAGGAGGGAAUUACAUAUUAUACAACACUGGGCCGAAUGACCUCUACGUGAUCAGCAUCCAAAAAGCCUAGUCUGGAGGAGGAUUAUUUUAUUACUUCAUGUCUCCAUAAUAUAAUAAUUUUGUUUCUACAAAUACGAUUGGUUGUGAAAAAUCUAACAGUAAUUAAUAAAAUUUUUCAAUAAUUACUUCAUGUCUCCAUAUCAUUUUGAAAUUGAGAUGAUGUGAGAUAGAUAAUAAACUUUGACGUUAAGAGCACAAUAGGUCCUAAAUUUAUAAUGUGACAAAACAAUUUAGGGUAAUUUUAUAAAUUUAGAUUUUAAAUAAUUCAUAAUAAUUAGUUUUUAAUAGCCAAAAAUUCAAUAAUUAUAUAACUUUUUAAGAAAAAGCAACAAGAUAUAUUAUUAAAAUUGAUAUAUUAUUCUAAAAAAGUAAAAUGUAUAAUAAAAAUUAUUAUUAAUAACAUUAUUGGGACCGAUCUUUGCUCUUAUUCUUUUGUUUUUUCUUGGUAGAUUAUUGUAUAUUAAAUUAGUUUGAAAUCUAAUUCCUAAUCAGAAUUAAUAUUUUUAAUUAAUAAGAUUAUUGUAUAUUAUUUCAUCAAACAAUAAAUCUUAUAAUAUGUUACUUAACAAAUAAAUAGUAAAUAAUAGUGUGCUUCAUUAUUUUUGAAGUGUAGUUUAUAUUAAAUUAGUCAGUUUUAAAUUAAUAUGCAUAAACACAUUAAUAGAAUUAUUUCAAACUAUUAAAAUUCUCUCAACUUACCUAUAGUUGAACCUAAUUCUAAACUUUUUCACAAACAUUAACAAAUUUAUAAUGUGAAAAAUUGAAGAAGAAAAUCAAUUAAUAAAAUAAAAUAAAACAAAUAAAAAAUUGUGAAUCAUUAGAAUUCCAAGAGAUGAAAUACACUUACAUUAUUGAAAUUUAUUAACUGAAAAUUCCAACUAUUUUGAGAAAAUCACACUAUCAUUUGAUCCUCUGAGGUAAUGUUUGCUUUCUCUCAACAUUUGUUUUCUCUCAAUUAGCUCUAAAAGGCCUAUUUAUAGUGAGACUUUAGGUCAAUUAGAUUAAUAUUAAGAUUCCUAAUUGAUUUAAUAUUCCUAUAUAUUUAGUUGAUAUUUAAUAUUUCUUAAUGAUUUUCUUUAAUAGAAAUAAUUUAUAAUCAACUAAUAAUUUCUUAUAUAAUUUAACAAUUAGGAUCAAUAUAAAUGAAUUAAAAGAUUUUUAUUUUUUAUUUUUUCGUUUUCUAGUGGUACUAAUACGUGUAGGUAUUAGUCUAUUUAAACAUCUAAAAAUUAUUUUAUAUUAUAAUAUCUUAUUUUAAUUUUUUAGGCAAUAAAAUUAAAAAUUUCCUAAUUAGAAUAAAACUAAAAGAUAUUUUUAAUAUAAUGUAUAAAUCAAUAAAUUAAAAGUUUUCUAAUUAAAAUGAAACUAAAUCAAUUAAUAAAAUACAAUAAAAUUAAAAUUUCUUAAUUAGAAUAGGACUAAAUUAUCCUUAAUUACAUUUUUAAUCAACUAAUAAAAUUAAAAGUCCGUAGGGCAUUUUAAGAACCCAAUAUCUCCCAUUCGUACUUUUAUAUAUAUUAUAAAUAGAUAACCACUAUACAUGAAAAAUAAACUGGACAGCUCAUUCAUAAAUUCAUCGCUAGCCUAUAUUUUUCCUUUUUUUUUUUUAUUUUUUUUAUACAAGAACCUGAUGAUGUUCGUAGAAUUCCUUUCAGUGGGAUCUGCCCCUGUCCCGUAGUACCUUCUGACCAAUUUCGGUGCAGGAACAGCAAUUUGCAGCUUUGGCCUGCAAGUAAUGCUAAUUUUGUAUCACAAUACAGUCACAAAUGUUAGAUGUAUUAAUACAAGAAGAAAAAUUCAGUUACCCUUGAAAAUAUGGUAGUAUGUGGGUACAAGUGAAUUCCGAAAAUUUGUGUAAUUCAUUUGAAAUUUCAUGUUUUCAGGACUUUUAUGAAUUAAAAAAAAGGACAUUUCAUUCUCAUCAAUUCAACUUCAUGGAGUUCAAUUUUAACUGAACUAAAUAUUACUAUUUCUACAUGAAUUUUAUACUUCAAAUCAUUUACACUAAACAGGGGGUUAAGGCUAUCUUACCUUUUCUGGAUCCAAUUUGCAGAUUCCUGAAACCAAUGUUCAAGGAUUUAAGACUUCCAUUGUUGGCUUCAAAUGUAAAACCUAAACAGGAACACAGCAACAAAACGGAUGCAGGAAAGGUUCAGAACUUACGAAACCUACUCCGGAUGAAAGUAUUAAGGUUUAGAUAAUUAAAAAUGAAGCAGUAUGCAGAUAAGUGAUACUAAUGCCUGUGGCAUACACAUAGUUAGCAGAGAGUAACGGAAAGUAGAAGGGAUAUCACAGUGCUGCAAAGUAAUUGCCAAAAGAAUCAAAGAUGACAUAGAAAUAUAGAAUCCAAAACAAGAAGGCAUUACAAGAAAAGACAAUAUGCAAUUUAAAAUGUGAUGUAUUUGCUCAUUCUAUUUAGUUUACAUAUAUCUUUACCCCUUUGUUUUGACAACAGAGUUGCUUAACAUGGCAAUGUAGAAUAACCUACCAAUACAAAAUAACAAAGGAAAAUAUUAUCCAAUUGAGCUGGAAGGAGAGCAGAACGUGGAAAAAAGAUAAAAGGAUGAACAUAUUAGAAAGGUUGAUGUGCAUGGCACAACAGGCUCAUACCAUCCAAAUAAAAUCCUUUACCUUAAUAAUCAGCCUUUAGGUUGGUAAAUCUUUGGUUCCAUUAAUAUUUUAUCAUCAAAGCAGGGAAUAAUGCUGAAAAACCCAUUACUCAAGGUAGAAUUAAAACAGCAUCCUGUGAAGAAGCAAAUGAGAAUAAUCACAAAGAUCAGAUCAGAAAACUAUUAAAACUUAAAUGAGUUUAUCUUACACUAUAACUUGCACCUUAUCUAAGGAAAACUUUGCAGUACAACACAACUAUGUUAUAAAAUUUUCUUUCUUUUAUAUUCCCUUCAUUUUCCUCCUAAAUUGUAGACAAGCUUUUGAAGGCAACGCUGAACACUUUCAUCCCCUCCUCCCACAUCAGUCCUCACCAAACAAAAUACACCAUUAUAAAAUUAUCCUAGACAGUGAGCUUAAAUACACAGGAAGUGUACGAGAGAAAGCCUCCACAUUGAUUGCUUUGGUUUUCCCAUUUCCUAGUUGCUGCUUCCAAGACUAAUCUCGCUCCAAACGUUUUUGCUGCAUCAAGGCCAUAUUAACCUAAAAUAAGAAGGAAAACAUGAAAAAUUGUUAGAAGAUAUUUUCUUGGGAACAUAUUGAAUUUUUUUUUUAAUCUUCAUUAAAUAUUAUAUGAUUAUUUUUCAGAUAAUAUUAAAUGAUAAGUUGCAUAAAAUUCUAGAAGCGAAAUCCUAAUCACAUUUUGGUAUUAUGUUUAUAGAAGAGUGAAUACUCACCUUUGGUACCAAAAUCUUUGAACUAGAUCCAACAAAGAAGAAGCGAGAAUGUCAAUUAUAAGAUUUUUAUGUAAAUACAGUGUUUUUUUAAUUAUUUUUAUUAUGAUGCAUUAAAUUAAUUCAUGUAGCAGGAUUGGGUCGCAUAAUUAAUGUUUUAAAAUUUUCAAUUCAUUCCAAUUUUGAAAUUAUAGCAAAAUUAAAAUAAAAAGUGCAAGACAGAGGAACCAAAGUGAUAAUGAAAAUAAUAAAUUAGGAACUUCAUAGUUAACAAGAAUAUAAACUAGAGAUCAAAUUUUCAAUCAAUUGAUAGGUAAAGGAGACAAUUUUGAACAGAAAGACCAAAAUAUUAACAAAAUUACAAGUUAUUUAUCCAAUAAACAAGACAAUUAGCUAAGGUAUAAGUGGAAGAUCAAACGUUAAUAUAUUAAUUUUUUUAAAUCAAGAUUUUAUUGGUGAUAAAUUAGUAGUUUACUUAACAUAUUAUUGAUAAAGAAACAUAUUAAACAAUAAUAAAAUAAUAAAAUUUAAAUAUUAUUUAUUUAUAAAAAAGAAAAAAAGUACGGCUAGCCAGGAUUGAAAGAGCUUGCUAUCGUGGACGAAUAAUUUAAGACAUACGAAAAAGAAAAUUAAGAAAUUAAUAAUUAAUAUGAGUGGGUGGAAGUCAUAUGUCAUACACCUCUAUAAUACGAGUGGGUUUGAUAUUACUUUUAAGAUUUGAUGAGUAUUUCUAUAUGAAAAGAAGUGAAGUGUGAUUGUUUUAUUUUAUUUUAUUUAUUUAACUUUAUUUAUAAGUUUAAUGUAUCAAAGAUUCGCUAAAUAUAAUUUAAUAGAAUAAAUCCAUUUGAUAAAGACGNNNNNNNNNNNNNNUUUUUUUUUUUUUUUAAUAUUGAGGGAGAGGAAUUUAAAUUCAAAUUUAUUACUGGAUCGUAUAUACACUUAUCACUAGAUUAUAUUUUGAUAUGUUCGUCUUGUCAAUUUUUGAUUGCAAUGAUAAAUUUAUUUUAGAACAUUUUAUAGAUUAAUUAUGAAUACAUCAACUAAUUCUAGAAUAUCCUCUUAUGGUAAGUAUCACCAAUGCAAGAAUUAAUAAAUUUAUUAUUCAUCCAUCAACUUUUAUUUGUUGUUUAUGAUUUUUACAUAGUAUUAAAAAUAUAAUUAAAUCAUCUAAAAUAUAAUAAAAUAUUUCUUAAUUUUACUAUACUUUCCCAUUAUCUCACCUAAUUUCUCAAAUCUAUUUUUUUUUUGUCAAAAUUGCUCUUUUCAUUUAUUUUCCUUUUCUUUUCUCAUCCUUUUUUGUUCUUUCACUCAAAUUCUAAUACCACAUAGGUUCUGAUUAAAUCAAGCUUGUUUAGUUUUCCAAUUCGGUUAUAAGAAUAACCAGUAUGAUUUGGUCAUAAUUUCUUAUUUAGUUUUCAUUUUGAUUAUAGAAAAUAAAUUUAUUUUAUCCAAAAUUCAAAUUAGGUCGGCUAAAACAAUCAAUUCAAUUUGAUUUUAUACAUAGCUUGAUUUUAAUUCAGUUUAGAAUAAAACCGAUCGAUUGCACAUCUCUAAUUAUCGCUCCUGUCUAUAUUAUCUAAUGACUUUGAGAAAGAGGAAAGUCAUCACUAUUGCCUUAUUUAAAAUAUGUAUGAACUUGGAAGAUAAAGAGAAAAGUCUUUAAAAUCCAUUAGCUCACUACAAAAAAAACGCCAUUUUGCGACCGACAAAUCGGUCGCAAAAUGGCUAAUAUCGGUCGCUAAAUUCACUUAGCGACCGAUCUGCGACCGACAGAGAUCGGUCGCAAAAUGUCUGGUCGCAAAAAAUUUCUGCGACCGAUGAUGUCAUCGGUCGCUAAUUUGCGACCGAUAAUAUCGGUCGCAAAUUUGAAUAAGCAGUCGCAAUUGUUGGUCGUGGUUUAAUUGGAAAUUCAGUCGCAAAUUCAGUCGCAGAAAAAUCUGUCGCAAAUUUUUUAAAUCGGUCGCAAAGUGUUAAUUUAAAAUUUUAUUUUUUGGUAUCAAAUCGGUCGCAAAUCGGUCGCAAAAUUGAAAAAAAAAUUAAAUAUUAUUAUGAAACCAAAAUUUUUCCGCACCUGUGAAAAUUAACAUAUAUACAUAUAUAUCACACACGCAAUUCAAGAACAGUAUAAAAAUGUAAUUUUUAUUGUUCUGAACAAAUUAAAAAAUGAAAAUACAAAUGAAAAAAUAAAAGACAUAGCUUGAUUUUAAUUCAGUUUAGAAUACUUAUUUCAAUUCUAGAUUUAUGGGUUUGUUUAAAAUCAAAUAAAAUCGAUCGAUUGCACAUCUCUAAUUAUCGCGCUGAUCUAUAUGAUCUAAUGACUUUGAGAAAGAGGAAAUUCAUCACUAUUGCCUUGUUUAAAAUAUGUAUGAACUUGGAAGAAAAAGAGACAGGUCUUUAAAAUCCAUUAGCUGGGGAAUUCAUAAUCCAAUUCAAUCAUCUUAAAUUAUAAAGAUGAUUGAUGUAACUCAAUUCAUUAUAUUUUUAAAUUUAUUAGGAUGGAUUGGGUCAAAUUGAGUCUAAUUGCAAUGGUAUUGCCCUGAAAAGAACAAAAAGAUAAAAUGAGACGAGAAAAAUAAAUAAAAAUCUGAAAUUUUGCUCAAAUGAUAAAUUUAACUCUUAAUAUUAAUAAUUUUCUACACUGAAAAUAACACUCCCUUUAUAUAAACAAACAAUAGAAUUAACAAAUAUUGUUUUUCUUUUUGUUUAGCAAAAGCAAAUAUAUGUGUAUUUAUUGAAGAUAAUAUUAGUAUUAAUACAAAUAUUACAGGAAGGACAUGACCCUUCUCUUGAAAACCAGAUAUAGAAUAAAAACUAUAAAAUAAUUAUUGUUCAUUGAUCUAAUAAAAAAUUCUAAUAAAAAAUAGAAAGUGAACUUGAAGAAAACAAAUAGAUCUUCAAAAGUGAUUGAUUAGAUGAACUCUCCGAAUCUUCUAUACAUGGCAUAAUUAUCUAUGAAUUAAUUACUUAUGACAAACACAGAGGAUUUAAACCAUUAAAUUCAAUAGAGGAACAAACCACACUACCAAGUUUCAAAAGACGAGAUCAUCGUAUAAAUGAAAAAUUCUCCACAAAUUGCAACCAAUCCAAAUAAACCAAACAAAUGCCAACAACAAAACAAAACUCUAUAUAAAAUAGAGAGAUCAUAAACUCCACACAAGAUGGAGAUAAAACACAAGUAGUAGCAGAAACAUAAAUAACAUGAAUCUAUAUCAGAAUAAUCAUAUAUUUGUAAUUUAUUUAAAAAAUAUAUAAAAAUCUAUAACAAGACUAAAGAGUACUAAAAUUUAAGGAUGCGGUUAAAAAAAUAUUAAAAGCAAAGAUAUAUUUAAUUUUAAAUUAUUGCCACACGAUGAUAAACUAAACACGUAAUAACUCCGAAAACUUGUUGAGGAUGUAGCAUUUGAUUUUCCCCAAAUUUAAUACUAUAAAAUAUUAGCGGAAUAUUAGUGUGCUCACACACAUGAAUUUAAUAUAAAUUUUAAUUGGAAUGGAGUGGGUAAUAAUUUACCUAUAAAAUAUAUUUUAUAAUUAUAUUUUCUUUACGUUUUGAAAUUGAUGGGAAAAAUAAUUUAUACUAAUACUGACAAAAUCAUUAUCGUCAAGUAAUGACCCUAAAAGAGGCUGUUAUGUCUACAUUAGAGCAAAGUUGCAAUGGGUCAAUUUUGAAUUUGAUUCAACUAUAUUGAGUGCGCGGAUUCAAAUUAAUGGUAGGUAAAUUUAGAUGUUCUAAUUUUAAUGGCGAAAAGGAGAGAGAGGCUGCGUUUAAAAAAAAUAUUAAAAGCAAAUAUAUAUUUAAGUUUAAAUUAUUGCUACACGAUGAUAAACAAAACACAUAAUAACUCCGAAAACAUAUUGAGGAUGUAGUAUUUGAUUUUCUCCAAAUUUAAUAUUAUAGAAUAUUAGCGAAAUAUUAGUGCGCUCACACACAUGAAUUUAAUAUAAAUUUUAAUUGGAGUGGAGUGGUUAAUAUUUUACCUAUAAAAUAUAUUUUAUAAUUAUAUUUUUUUUUACGUUUUGAACUUGAUGGGAAAAAUAAUUUAUACUGAUAUUGACAAAAUCAUUAUCGUCAAGUAAUGACCCUAUAAGAGGCUGUUAUGUCUGUAUUAGAGCAAAGUUGCAAUGGUCCAAUUUGGAAUUUGAUUCAACUAUGUUGAGUGUGCGGAUUCAAAUUAAUGGUCGGUAAAUUUAGAUGUUCUAAUUUUAAUGGCGAAAGGGAGACAGAGGCUGCGUUUAAAAAAAAUAUUAAAAGCAAAUAUAUAUUUAAGUUUAAAUUAUUGCUAUACGAUGAUAAACAAAACACGUAAUAACUCCGAAAACAUGUUGAGAAUGUAGCAUUUGAUUUUCUCCAAAUUUAAUACUAUAAAAUAUUAGCGGAAUAUUAGUGCGCUCACACACAUGAAUUUAAUAUAAAUUUUAAUUGGAGUGGAGUGGUUAAUAAUUUACCUAUAAAAUAUAUUUUAUAAUUAUAUAUUUUUUACGUUUUGAAAUUGAUGGGAAAAAUAAUUUAUACUGAUAAUUGAAAAAAUCAUUAUCGUUAAGUAAUGAACCUAAAAGAGGCUGUUGUGUCUAUAUUAGAGCAAAGUUGCAAUGGGUUAAUUUUUAAUUUGAUUCAACUAUGUUGAGUGCGCGGAUUCAAAUUAAUGGUUAGCAAAUUUAGAAGUUCUAAUUUUAAUGGCGAAAGGGAGAGAGAGGCUGCGUUUAAAAAAAAUAUUAAAAGCAAAUAUAUAUUAAUAUAAAUAACUACUUGAUUAGUUAUUUAAUAUAAAAUGAUAAAAAAUGGUAUGAAAGUAAGGAAUAAGAAAAGACGAGUAAUGUGUAUAAGUGCUAUAAAGAAAUUACAAAACGUUAAACGUUAAUGAAGAUAACGUUUUAUAAAAAACUUCUCAAACUCUAAAUGCUAGUGCAGAUAUUGUAUUAUCGAAUGUUAUAAUUAAUUAAAAUAAUAUUUUAAUCCUAUCAAAAAUUAAUACUACUUUAAAUGCAGAAUAUGGCCUAAUUAUCAAACUUAAAAUCAAAUAAUAAUUAUAAAAGCAAUUAAAAUUGAUUGGUCAGUAUCAAUUACCAAAUAUGAAAAGAAAAACAAUAAUGACAUGUUUUAUAAUUGUAAUAAUCUAAACUUUUACCCAAAAAAAAAAAAAAAAAAAAGAAAAGUAUGUUACGUUACUCGUGGUUUGCGAAAUAAAUUAUUUUGUCUUUAUCUUUUUUAAAAUAUAUAAAUUUAUUUCUGAAUUUUACUUCCGUUAUAUUAUUAGAUCUUUUUCUCCAUCUUUUGUAUCUUUUCUGUUAAGACAAUAAGAAAUACUAUCGUACUUAACAGAAAAAGAUGCAAUAGUAUAAUAUCCCGAUGUUAUCAUUUCUAAAUACUUCAAGAAAUGACAACUUUAUGGUUUGAAAAAUACAGCUAUAAUAUUCCUGUGUUUUAAAAAAAAAAAAAGAAUAUUUUGUUAUUUUAUAAUAUAGAAAACAUAUAAAAAUUAAACGAAAAAUUUUAUAAUUUAAUGGAAGUAAAUCAUAAAAAUACUUUACUCUGUUAAAAAAAAAGGAUAAAUUAACUGUAUUUCGUAAUUACAAAAAUCCCAUUGUACUUUUCCCAAAAAAGAAAGUACAACGAUCAAAAUCAUAGUCCAGUAUGGCCUACUCCAAGAAAGGACAACUUUUUGUAGUAAUGUUCAUUAAAUACUCUCUCAUCUACUCUUUUCGUACCUUCAAAAAACCAUUUAAUUUGUAUAAGUUUAUAAUAAAUUAUUAAAUAAAUUAAUAUAUUAUCCUUAUUUGUAUUAAAGUGAGAGAUUUUUAAAAAUUACAGCAAUUAAUGUUUAUCAUUUAUAAAGAGUAAAAUUGAGAAAAAAAAUUUAUUAUAUCUAAAAAAAAAUCUAUAAAUAUAACACUAAACUUUCACAAAUGUGAGAUUAUUUAUAGACCGAGGAAGUAAUAGUUUGCUCAUAUUAUUGUUAUUUCAGGUAGAGCGUAAUAACAUUAGAUGAGUAAAUACUGGGGCCAUUACUCUACGUAUGCAGCUCAGUAGAAAAGGACAUAUAUGGGAUUCCAGUUACAAAAAGCCCAGUAUGUUUAGACAAAGAGAAGACCCAAGAAAAGAAGUAGAAGACAACUGAACAAUGGAUAUGCUCUUACACACGUAACAAUGAAUCUUGGUUUAGAAAUUAGCACAUGUGUGAAUUCAUACACCAAGGACACCAAGUGUCCGCGGGAGAAUGUAUCACCGAGUUACUCCCUACUCCCAACUCGGUGAGUUUGUAGAAACUCAACAAACUGGUCGAUGCAUCCAUUAUGAACUUCUCUAUUUGUAAUUAACUUCCUCAUCUCGUUAGUACUCUCUCUAUAUAAUUUUCCUUUCUCGUUAUCCAUAGCCAGCAUCAGUGACUCGGCCAACGAUUCCUUUGUAAACGAUCCGUCUUGCUCAUUUCUUUUUACUUCUACCCCCAACUUCUUCUCUUCAAAAACCCUGGCAUUUAACCCUUGGUCAAUUGAGACGGGAAACAAAAUCAAUGCGAGUCCAAAAUUAAGUGCCUCUACAACUGAACUCAAACCGCAGUGAGUCAAAAACCCGCCAACCGACUCAUGCCCUAGAAUUCUGAGUUGAGGUACCCAACUCGUCCACACUAUUCCACGUCCUUUCACUCUCUCUUCAAAUCCGUCCGGUAACUCGAACGAGUUACCUUGCUUCCUUAGAGUCCAAAAGAAUGGCAAUCCUGAUAGCUCUAAUCCAAGUGCCAAAUCAUUCAGAUCUUUUUGACUCACUUCCAACUCACUUCCGAAUGCUAUGUAUACGACAGAUCCUUUGUUUUGCUUGUCUAGCCAGCCACAGAUUUUAAGCCACGUUUCAUCAUCGCCACCUGUAACAUCCAGAUCUGACGGCGGAAGUAGGCCAAUUGGAAGCACAGGCUUACCGUGAAGUUGUUCAAAAAGCUUUAAAUGAUCAGCUUCUAACUCGAAGCAGCUCCUUACAGCAAGUACAUCGACUGCCGCCAUUACUGUACCUAGACGAUACAUAUCGGAUAAACCCGAAUCAUUUACUUCGAAAUGUUCAAAAGCUCUUUUUGCCUCAUGAAUCCGAUACGCAACUUUGGAGGGAAAUGGUACCCACUUAGGAGGGACAGUGAAAUCCUCCGGUCGAGUCCGUUCAUCAUCACCGUUAAUCAUGGCCGACGAUGACGAUGCCAGGAAAGCCAUUGUCCAAGCAGAGAAAAUACUGAAAAAGGCACUAGAAAUGCCAAGAUCUGAAGUGAUCGGAGGUAGCCAGUAAGCGGCAAAAUCGUAAAUGAUCCAAUCUGGAGCAGAAGUUUUUAAAAACUGAAACAAGGGUUCUUUUAGCCCAUCAUAAGCUAUUUUAAGGUAAGGAAUUUUGUUGGUAGGUAUAUCCAUGGUGGCCUCUGCAUCAGGGGGAAGAUUGUCUACCUGAGGUAAGGGAAGGCUUAUGAAAUGUAUAUUGGAUGAUAAAUUUGGAGGGAUUUUUGGCAAACGUUGAAUAUUCCUAGGAGUAGAUAUAAAGGAGAUUUUGUGACCCUUCUGGGCUAUGUGUUUGGCUACCUUAAGAUAAGGGAUUAUAUGGCCAAAUGCCAGCCAUGGAAAUAAAGCAACAUGAAGCUUUUUAGUUUCAGUCAUGGUGAAUUUCUUGGUGUUCAUCUACUUUGCAACCCUCAGCGUUUAAAUAGACAUUGUUUAUUAUUCAUCUGUGUGUACCAAAGCAAAUGUCAGGGGCGAGCUAUUGUUUAUAAUUUCUGUGGGCCCCAAAGUCAGUUGUGUUAGAUAUACUCCAUGUAGUAUAAUACACACUUCAUUUGUAAUAAAAUUCAAAUUAGAGGGCAAAUAUGAGAUUUAAUACAUGAACUUUGACGCAAAUAGAAGACUGGAAAUGCCCAAUAUGACGGAGCAGUCGGAGGAAGAAGAAAGAGAAAUCCUGAGCAAUACUAGUUGCUAAAGUGGCGAAGAAGACACAAAUGAUAGCACUUGAGUGAUUUUAAUAAUCAGAGUCGAUUUUCUAUUUUAUCACUUAUGCCUUUUGUUUUCAUGAGAACUGAGCAGGUGAUGAAGGAGAUGGAUUUUUAGAAGACGUUGAUUUUUACGAGGCUUUCUAAAUCAAACUGAUGUUCAUUUCAAUUCUCAAAUCUCUUUACUUUUUCAUAUUUUUAUGAAAUUAAAUUUAUGGUCUUUUCUAUAUCUAUUGCAGGGUGUUUAUGUUUGAGAAGAGAGAGAAAAUGAAAUUGUUAAAAGAAGGAAGAGAUGCUGCAUGUUAAGAUAGACUGGAACCAUAGAUGGAAAAGAUUAAAGGUUCAAAGGUCUCUCAAAAUAUAAAAACUUCUUUUUCUUCUAUUAAACUUGAAAUAAUAAUUAUAAUAACAUCAAUUAAGAAUUAAGAAAAUUGUCACAUACAUGGAUCGGAGGAAGAGGUAUUUGAGAUAGAAAAACAGAAGUUAGAGAUGCUGCAGAUCAAUAUGAACACACAUAGAAGGAAGCUGGAGAUUGUGGAAGUCUGAAACAGAGGUAUAUGAGAUGCUAUGGAUUAUAUUUACACUAUUACCCUUUUCACUUCAAUACGAUUGAUUGCCGACCUUUUUUACUUGUGGGACCCUCUAUAUUUAUUAUAUUAUAUUAUAAGGACCAAAUGACCGGGCGACUCGAACUGUGUAUCACUGCCCUUUAAAAAAUUCAUCUUGUGUUUCGUAUAAGGCAGGUACACUUUUUAGUUUAAUCACAACCGCUUAUCAAGUGUGGCGGGAAAGACUUUUAAGGCGACUCAAAACCUGCUCAUGGUGACGGUUUUGGAAAAGCCACUAAUGGCAGAAGCUUUCAAAAUUCGAAUAAGACAGGAGAUAAAGAUGUUUCAGAGGGCAUGAUUGGCGGAGAUGAUUAUGCUCCUGCGGUGGAUAAGUCAGCAGUGGACACUGCACAUGUGGACCAGGCAUGAGAUGAUUGGCAAUACGAUUGAUUGCCGACCUUUUUUACUUGUGGGACCCUCUAUAUUUUUGAUAUUAUAUUAUAUUUACACAAGCCCUUUAAAAAAUUCAUCUUGUGUUUCGUAUCAAGGCAGAAACACUUUUUAGUUUAAUCACAGCCACAAGUGUGGUGGGAAAGACUUUAAACACACGGGCGGAGCCGCAUGCAGCACAUAGGGCAUGCUCAUCCCGAAAUAAAAAAUUUUCAUGGAUUUGAUGAAGCCUAAAAUGAUAUUGUUCUCUGAUUCCAUAUAUAGAAAGAUAAUUCGUGGUUAGCAUUUGCUAUUCAUAAUUAUAUGGACUAAAAGAACAUGGCACGUGUUUACUAUUUUGCUCGUUUAUGAUUCAAAUAUAAAAUAUUUAUUGAGGCUUUAAGCAUAGCAUUAAAGUAAAUAAAUAAAUUUUACAUUUAAUUUUUGUGGAGGGAUAUGUGGUAAAUUUUGGACAAAAUUUUCAUCAAGAUAAGCUUAAAAUUAUAAUUUUAAAAGAUAUCCAUAUUGAAAAAUUUAAAAUUUAAAAAUAUAUAAUCUAGUAAAUAUAUAUAUAUAUAUAUAUAUAUAUUUUUCAUUUAUCCAGAUACACAUCAUUUUACUUAGCUACCUCUUUUCUAUCUCCAUCCUCCACCAAAGAAGCUUUAAUAAAUAUUAUAAAUCAGGCUUAACGCGUAAUUUUACUUUUAAACUAUUACCAUUUCUCCUGGUAGCCUCUUGAACUUUGUGGGAUUCUAUCGUAGUGACCUUAUAUUAAGGGUGGCCACGGUUCCAAAACCAACGGUUUCGAAAUCGAACUAAAAAUUAACAGUUCCGGUUACGGUUUGAAAUUGAACAAUUCUAAUUUCGGUUUGAAACCAAAAAUUAACAGUUCUAUCGUAUUGACCCUAUACGAAACUAAAACCGUUGGGUCCGACUGAAACUAGAACCCCAGUUCUUCAGUAAUAAUAAAUUCUUUAGUGACCAUGUCCCUCGCAAGAAGAGCGUCAAUCGCGUUUGGGAGAGUAAGGACGAAUUUUCUCAGUCAAUGAAUGUCCAACGUGGCGAGAUCAACCGUUGUUAUUGUCAAAUAGCUUAAGGAGUUUCUUUACCAAUUUUCUGUCGUCAAAAUCAAACCCAGGAACGACGUCAAUCCCUCUCUCUCUCUCUCAACUGAUUUUGUUUACCAAUUUUCUGUCUUCCUUUAUACUUUCAUUUUUUAGAAUCGCAUUUUUCUCUGUCUCUUUCGCUUCUCAUUUUGUUCAUCAAAAGAAAGUAAUAACAAAGAUGAAUUUAAUGGUGAUGCUUUGAUAUUUAUUUACACAAGAGAAGGAUUUCAACAGCUCAUCUUCUCAACAGAGAAACGGUAGCCCCAUGUUGACGAAUUGAGCAAGUGGUGGCGGUGACUGAUGGCAAUGGAAACCCAUAUUUGAAUACCCUUCGGAAACUAGAGAAGCAAGACGAUGGCGUUCAUUUGAUGCUGGCUCGAGAUCCCAUAUUACAAGUUUCUUUAAUUAUAUUAUGUUCACCAAAUCUACUCAUAGUGUUGUGAAAUUAAUUUUAAGAUUUUAAGAUUGCUUUGAAAAGGAGAUAUGGAAGAUUAUUAAGAUAGCAUAUAGGAUUAAAUUUUCAUUGGUUUCAUGUGCUGCGAUACUUAUUUUCUUUUUCUCAUUGGAGAUGGUUUAUGAGUACUUAUUACAAGCUCAUGAUAAGGAACCAACAGAUUGCCCUAAAUUAUGAACAUACAUUAAUUUCUAGUUUGUUAAUACUAACAGAAUUAUCAUUCUAUUUCAACUUAGCCUAUGUUACCUAAGAAUCUGAGAUGUCGGAAUCAUAUUUGAACUGUUAAUAAGACACACAUAAUUUUCUAAUAUAUAAUUAUUGAUAAAAUAAAGUAAAGAGUUCAUAUGUAUGACCCUGCUCUGCUGAAAACUUUGUGGCGCAUGGCUGUAUGGUCCUAUUCAUUCAUGGAAAUUAUGAGUCAAUUCAACUUGCGAGCAAGUCGAUGAUCUUGUGUUAUUAAUGAGCAGAGAUAGCACCGUAUAUUUAUUUCAACAAGAAGAGAAAGGUCCCCUUAGGUUUACGUACUUAUAUUCAGAUUCAGAGCAAUGGACCUUGAAAAUGAUUGACAACUCACAUUCUCAUAACUAGAUUGCUGCCCUCUGCACUGUUAUUUUGUAAUGAAACUAAAAAGGGAAUGUUUGUUUUUUUAAGUUAUGAAGAAUUGACAGCUGAUACCAUCUUUUUAAGGAUAAGAGUUCAAUCUCUGAUAACAACACUCAUGGGAACAAACUGUCAACCUGAGUUAAUUAUUCCAGACAUCAGCCCUAGACAAUUACAUAGUUAACUAUAUCAAAAUAAUAAUUAUCAAAAUAUUUACUCCAAUACACUUAUUUACCAUAAUUUUUUCUUAUAAAUAUGGUUUUAUAUAUCUAUCGAACAAUAUUUUUAUUUCAUUUAUUUAUAAUUUAUAAAUUAAUUUAAUUUUAUAUAUAUAUAUAUAUACCUUUUAAAUAAUAAAUGUUUGAAGUGGUUUAGUGGUAAAAUGUCUUAAUUGUACGCAAGAAGUCAUUAAAGACAAUUUCUUUUUCACGAUGUAAUGGUAUUUUGAAAUUUAAGUCAUCAUCUUAUUCUCUAGUAAAAAAAAAAUCAUUUUCCCUUUCCCAUUAUACUUAUUUAUGUUAAAAUUAAUUUUAUUGAUAAUAUAAAUAAUUAAUUUCACGGGAAUAAAAAAAUAAUAUGUUAAAAGCAUAAAUACAUUAAUCAUAUUAUUAAAAAAAAAAAACUUUUGCUUUUUAGCAUAAAUAAUACAACAAACAAAUUGUGCAAUUAUUGCAAACCAUAGGAACUAAAUAAUUUUUUUUCUAGCAAAAAAAAAAUCCACAUUAUAGACUGGUACACUAUUCGACCAUGAAGCCCCAGUUUACUGCUGAGUCAUGAAGAAAUCGUUCAAAGAACUGAGUCAAUUUAAAUUACAAGUAACUCGAUGAUGUUGCAGCAACUCAACAAAACGAUCUACGUAUCUGUCAUGGAGAUCUUUAUCUGCUAAUAACUCCCUCAUCUCCUUUGCAGCAUCUCUGUAUUCUUUUCCUUCCUUAUCAACCAUAACCAACCUCAAUGACUCAGCCACCGAGUCCCUUGUAAAAGACCCAUCUUGCUCAUCUCUGGUUAUUUCUACACCAACCUUCUUUUCUUCAAAAACUCUAGCAAUUAACCCUUGGUCCAGAGCAAUGGGCAGCAUAAUCAAAGCUCGUCCAAAAUAGAGUGCUUCUAUAAUUGAACUAUAACCACAGUGAGUCAAAAUCCCACCAACCGAUUCAUGACUCAGAAUUCUGAGUUGAGGUACCCAAGUUUUCCACACUAGCCCACGUCCCUGGACUCGCUCCUCAAAUUCAUUCGGCAGUCCGAGUGAGUUAUCUUUNNNNNNNNNNNNNNNNNNNNNNNNNNNNNNNNNNNNNNNNNNNNNNNNNNNNNNNNNNNNNNNNNNNNNNNNNNNNNNNNNNNNNNNNNNNNNNNNNNNNNNNNNNNNNNNNNNNNNNNNNNNNNNNNNNNNNNNNNNNNNNNNNNNNNNNNNNNNNNNNNNNNNNNNNNNNNNNNNNNNNNNNNNNNNNNNNNNNNNNNNNNNNNNNNNNNNNNNNNNNNNNNNNNNNNNNNNNNNNNNNNNNNNNNNNNGCGACUUUUGAGGGAAACGGAACCCACUUAGGUGGAACGGUGAAGUCCUCUGGCUGAGUCCGUAGAUCAUCACCGUUAAUCAUGGCCGAAGAUGAUCCAAAAAAUGUUAGAGUCCAACCACCAUAAAUACUGAAAAAGGCACUUGAGAUUCCGAGAUCGGCCGUAAUACGAGGUAACCAGAAAGGUGCGAAGUCGUAAAUAAUCCAAUCAGGAGUAGAAGUUUCUAGAAACUGAAGCAGAGGGCAUUGCAGGUUAUCGUAGGCUUUCUUGAGGUAUGGAACCUUGUGCGUGGGAAUGUCAGUGGUAGCCUCUGAAUUAGGGGGGAGAUGGUCUUCAGAAGGUUAAGUGAGGGUUACUAAAUGGACAAGGUUUGCUAAAUUUGGAGGGAUUUUGGGCAAACGCUGGAUGUUUUUAGGGGUAGAAAUAAAGGAGAUUUUGUGACCUCUUUUGGCUAAAAGCUUGGCGAGCUCGAGGAAUGGGAUUAUAUGACCAAACGCUAGCCAUGGAAACAGAGCAAUAUGGAGCUUUUUAUGUUCAUUCAUGGUGAACAGAGGACUAAUGUAGAAGCCUACAAGCUGCUUGUAGAAAAUCCCUAUAUUGAAAAAUGAAAAUCAUGAUAAGCAAAACUUUGGGCUAAUCGCGGUUGACAUUGUAUCAAAAAAUAUGCUUUAGCAGGAGUGAAAAUACUAAAAUGGCCUUGUUUUAAUUGAAGGUAGGGACAAAUCUUAGCAAAAUGAAACUUUACCAGUUGGAGGAUAAUUUAGAGACCAACCUGUGGAAAAGUAAAAGAAUCAAUUAAGAGUGGUUGAACCAAAUCUAUUUUUCAAUUAAAAAAUCAAUUAGUACUUAAAGAAAAAUUGUCAUGAUGCACAAAACUACUAUUUUGCACAAACCUACCAAUCUGGG
This 19633-nucleotide long non-coding RNA is filed under the name Jatropha curcas. Its description in RNAcentral is "long non-coding RNA (JCUR_LNC002373)". The record is from RNAcentral. Lineage: Eukaryota; Viridiplantae; Streptophyta; Magnoliopsida; Malpighiales; Euphorbiaceae.